This 301-nucleotide ribosomal RNA is filed under the name uncultured bacterium. RNAcentral's name for it is "partial 16S ribosomal RNA". It matches the Rfam family "Bacterial small subunit ribosomal RNA", at positions 509 to 807 of the family's 1533-position model. The record is from RNAcentral.
CAGUCGCCGCGGUAAUACAGAGGGUGCGAGCGUUAAUCGGAUUUACUGGGCGUAAAGCGUGCGUAGGCGGCUAAUUGAGUCGGAUGUGAAAUCCCCGAGCUUAACUUGGGAAUUGCAUUCGAUACUGGUUAGCUAGAGUAUGGGAGAGGAUGGUAGAAUUCCAGGUGUAGCGGUGAAAUGCGUAGAGAUCUGGAGGAAUACCGAUGGCGAAGGCAGCCAUCUGGCCUAAUACUGACGCUGAGGUACGAAAGCAUGGGGAGCAAACAGGAUUAGAUACCCCCGUAGUCCCUGUCUCUUAUAC